UACACACCGCCCGUCACACCAUGGGAGUCGAUUGCUCCAGAAGUGGCCACGCCAACCCGCAAGGGAGGCAGGCCCCCAAGGAGUGGUUGGUAACUGGGGUG
This 101-nucleotide ribosomal RNA is filed under the name uncultured bacterium. RNAcentral describes it as "partial 16S ribosomal RNA". It matches the Rfam family "Bacterial small subunit ribosomal RNA", at positions 1384 to 1482 of the family's 1533-position model. The record is from RNAcentral.